CUCAAGUCAAAGUUUUGUGGAGAAACCACGAUGAUGAGGAAAUGACCUGGGAGUUAGAAUCUGAAUGAGAUCAGGUAUCCUCACCUCUUCAUCAUACUAGGUAUGUACCCUAAUUUCGAGGGUGAAAUUUCAUAAGAAGGGGAGGUUGUAAGACCCCAAUUUUUAUGAAUAAAGAUGAAUUUUCUAUAAAUGUCAUUUUUGAAUAUUAAGG
This 211-nucleotide long non-coding RNA is filed under the name Panax ginseng (ginseng). RNAcentral's name for it is "long non-coding RNA (PGIN_LNC014357)". The record is from RNAcentral. Lineage: Eukaryota; Viridiplantae; Streptophyta; Magnoliopsida; Apiales; Araliaceae.